This 1000-nucleotide ribosomal RNA is filed under the name Sesquicillium sesquicillii. Its description in RNAcentral is "LSU rRNA". It matches the Rfam family "Eukaryotic large subunit ribosomal RNA", at positions 49 to 1086 of the family's 3401-position model. Lineage: Eukaryota; Fungi; Ascomycota; Sordariomycetes; Hypocreales; Bionectriaceae. The record is from RNAcentral.
AGCGGAGGAAAAGAAACCAACAGGGAUUGCCCUAGUAACGGCGAGUGAAGCGGCAACAGCUCAAAUUUGAAAUCUGGCGCAAGCCCGAGUUGUAAUUUGUAGAGGAUGUUUCUGGCGACGUGCCUUCCGAGUUCCCUGGAACGGGACGCCAUAGAGGGUGAGAGCCCCGUACGGUUGGUUGCCUAGCCUCUGUGAAACUCCUUCGACGAGUCGAGUAGUUUGGGAAUGCUGCUCUAAAUGGGAGGUAUACGUCUUCUAAAGCUAAAUACCGGCCAGAGACCGAUAGCGCACAAGUAGAGUGAUCGAAAGAUGAAAAGCACUUUGAAAAGAGGGUUAAAUAGUACGUGAAAUUGUUGAAAGGGAAGCGUUUAUGACCAGACUUGAGCAGGUUGAUCAUCCGUGGUUCUCCGCGGUGCACUCUGCCUGUUCAGGCCAGCAUCAGUUUGGUUCGGGGGAUAAAGGCUUCGGGAAUGUAGCUCCCUCGGGAGUGUUAUAGACCGUUGCGUAAUACCCUGAUCCGGACUGAGGUUCGCGCUCUGCAAGGAUGCUGGCGUAAUGGUCAUCAGCGACCCGUCUUGAAACACGGACCAAGGAGUCGUCUUCGUAUGCGAGUGUUCGGGUGUCAAACCCCUACGCGUAAUGAAAGUGAACGUAGGAGAGAGCUUCGGCGCAUCUCCGACCGAUCCUGAUGUUCUCGGAUGGAUUUGAGUAAGAGCAUACGGGGCCGGACCCGAAAGAAGGUGAACUAUGCCUGUAUAGGGUGAAGCCAGAGGAAACUCUGGUGGAGGCUCGCAGCGGUUCUGACGUGCAAAUCGAUCGUCAAAUAUGGGCAUGGGGGCGAAAGACUAAUCGAACCUUCUAGUAGCUGGUUUCCGCCGAAGUUUCCCUCAGGAUAGCAGUGUUGAUCUCAGUUUUAUGAGGUAAAGCGAAUGAUUAGGGACCCGGGGGCGCUAUAUAGCCUUCAUCCAUUCUCAARCUUUAAAUAUGUAAGAAGUCCUUG